RNAcentral lists this unclassified non-coding RNA (1825 nucleotides) under Bactrocera tryoni. RNAcentral's name for it is "uncharacterized LOC120781429, transcript variant X2". Lineage: Eukaryota; Metazoa; Arthropoda; Insecta; Diptera; Tephritidae. The record is from RNAcentral.
UAUAUUCGAACAACUGAUGCUAACGAUAGUGAUGGUUACACUGCAAAUACCGAUCCAUUGUACGUAUCAAAGGAUGGUACACUAUGGCAGUCAGAUCCAUUUCAGCCGCAAAGUGGUAGAUUUAGGAAUGAGAAUGUUAUCAGUCUUUCGCCUGGCGUCACUCGAUUUGCAAAAGCCCGUGUCAACGACAUAAAAGAUGCUUUUCUCCUAUUUUUGCCUCCACAUCUAGAAAACAUAAUUCCAAAGCAUACAAAUGCAUUUGACAAAGCUAAGUAUGGCGACGAAUUCAUGCGAAUUGAUUCCAGUCUGUUGCAAGCUUAUAUCGGUAUAUUGAUUUUAACUGGUGUAUAUAGAUCAAAAAACGAGUCAACGGUUGAUUUGUUCGAUGCAGAGUAUGGUCGUCCCAUAUUUAGGGUUAUUAUGUCAAAAAAGACGUUUGAAUAUAUCAAUCAAGUAAUUCGAUUUGAUGAUACCAUCAGCCGGAGGCAAAAAACAUGUGACGAUAAAUUUGCACCGAUCCGAGAUGUUUUUGAAAAAUGGUCGAAUUCAUUAGCUGAUUAUUACAACCCUCAUGAAUGAGUUACCGUAGAUGAACAGCUGCUGGGUUUUAGGGGUCGAUGCAAAUUUCGUCAAUAUAUGCCUUCGAAAUCAGAGAAAUGAGGAAUUAAGUUUUGGUUGUGCGUCUGUUCUGAGGGUUGCUAUAUUUGGAAAAUUCAGCCCUACUUGGGUAAACCAGUCGGUGCAAGCUCAUGUGAAAAAAAUCAGUGUCAACGUGUUGUUUUGGAUUUGUCUCGGCCAGGAAUUGCUAACAAAAAGUGUCACGAUGGUGGGAACUAUGAGGAAAAAUAAGAGAUCUAUUCCGCCAAAUCUUCUCAAACGCAAAAAACUACCUUUGUACCAUUCAACGUUUGCAUUCACAAAUCGAGCCCGGAGUUAAAAAGCUACCAACAAUUAUAAAUUAUUAUAACAAAACUAAAGGUUUGUUAUAGAUGAGUUCCGAUUUAUUUGUUUAUAUUCGUCUAUUUGCUUGUUUCAUUCAAAAUAGGCGGUGUCGAUACGGUUGAUAAGAUGCUUUCCUGCCACAGUUGCAGGAGGAAAACUAAUAGAUGGCCGAUGGCUGUGUUUGCUAAUAUAAUUGACAUAUCGGCUUUGAAUGCAUUAAUCAUUUUCAAGGAAAUUAAUCCUAACUGGCAGGCUACACAAAAAACCACAAUAAGAAAGAACUUUCUACGGGAGCUAGGAUUAUCACUUGCUAGACCAUUUAUGACAUGUAGAACUUGAAAGCCGAGGUCAAGUUCAUCCGCGAAUUUGCUCGAUAUGGCAUCUUCACCAAAUGCAUCGAAAAGAUCAAAAAGCGUUCCUCCACAAAUUAAAGGAAGGCAAAGAUGUGCGAUGUGUUUGGAAAGUAAUUUUGCUUCAAAAAAUAACAUGCAUACUACAAUUUGUUGCUUUUGUUCAAAAGGUACAUGCAAAAACAUACACAACCGAAACGUAUGCGUCAGGUGCAUAAAAAAUAAGUUAAUUUAAGUUUGGAAAAAAAUUAAAACAGUAUUUUCUCGGUUAAGCUAAUAAAAACGACAAAAAUAAUGUUGGUUUUCGCCGUCCAAUUUUCCACUAAAAACAAUGGGAAGUACAUAUGCGUCGAAAACGACGCAUGAGGGUAGACAAUGUAAGUUAUUUUUAGGAGCAGAUGAAGGUUUAAACUUAAAACUAAGAAUUAGGAAUUCAGUUGAAACUAAAAUUCCAAGAAUAACUUUUGCAUGCAAAAAGAUACAGUCCUGGGUGGUAAGCUAUCUUUUGAUAUAUAUAAAUUGGUUAACCGUUC